Molecule: ribosomal RNA, 256 nt
Filed under: uncultured bacterium
Lineage: Bacteria
Description: partial 16S ribosomal RNA
Rfam family: Bacterial small subunit ribosomal RNA
Source: RNAcentral
UAAUACGGAGGGUGCAAGCGUUGUUCGGAAUUACUGGGCGUAAAGCGCACGUAGGCGGGCUUGUAAGUCGAUUGUGAAAGCCCCGGGCUCAAUCCGGGAAUUGCAGUCGAAACUAUAAGUCUUGAAUGCUCUAGAGGGUGACGGAAUUCCUGGUGUAGAAGUGAAAUUCGUAGAUAUCAGGAGGAACACCGGAGGCGAAGGCGGUUGCCUGGAGAUGCAUUGACGCUGAGGUGCGAAAGCGUGGGGAGCAAACAGG